Molecule: ribosomal RNA, 525 nt
Filed under: uncultured bacterium
Lineage: Bacteria
Description: partial 16S ribosomal RNA
Rfam family: Bacterial small subunit ribosomal RNA
Source: RNAcentral
GGAAUAUUGGACAAUGGGGGCAACCCUGAUCCAGCAAUGCCGCGUGUGUGAAGAAGGUCUUCGGAUUGUAAAGCACUUUCGACGGGGACGAUGAUGACGGUACCCGUAGAAGAAGCCCCGGCUAACUUCGUGCCAGCAGCCGCGGUAAUACGAAGGGGGCUAGCGUUGCUCGGAAUGACUGGGCGUAAAGGGCGUGUAGGCGGUUUACACAGUCAGAUGUGAAAUCCCCGGGCUUAACCUGGGAGCUGCAUUUGAUACGUGUAGACUAGAGUGUGAGAGAGGGUUGUGGAAUUCCCAGUGUAGAGGUGAAAUUCGUAGAUAUUGGGAAGAACACCGGUGGCGAAGGCGGCAACCUGGCUCAUGACUGACGCUGAGGCGCGAAAGCGUGGGGAGCAAACAGGAUUAGAUACCCUGGUAGUCCACGCUGUAAACGAUGUGUGCUAGAUGUUGGGUAACUUUGUUAUUCAGUGUCGCAGUUAACGCGUUAAGCACACCGCCUGGGGAGUACGGCCGCAAGGUUGAAAC